CAGCCGCCGCGGUAAUACGAAGGGAGCGAGCGUUGUUCGGAAUCACUGGGCUUAAAGCGUGCGUAGGCGGAAAUGUAAGUCAGAAGUGAAAGCCCAGGGCUCAACCCUGGAACUGCUUUUGAGACUGCAGAGCUAGCAGGUGAGAGAGGUGAGUGGAAUUCCGAGUGUAGAGGUGAAAUUCGUAGAUAUUCGGAAGAACACCAGUGGCGAAGGCGGCUCACUGGCUCAUACUGGACGCUGAGGUGCGAAAGCGUGGGGAGCAAACAGGAUUAGAUACCCCCGUAGUCCCUGUCUCUUAUAC
Molecule: ribosomal RNA, 301 nt
Filed under: uncultured bacterium
Lineage: Bacteria
Description: partial 16S ribosomal RNA
Rfam family: Bacterial small subunit ribosomal RNA
Source: RNAcentral